GCUAAUACCGCAUAAUGUCUUCGGACCAAACGGGGCUUAGGCUCCGGCGCAAAGAGAGGCCCAAGUGAGAUUAGCUAGUUGGUAAGGUAAAGGCUUACCAAGGCGACGAUCUCUAGCUGUUCUGAGAGGAAGAUCAGCCACACUGGGACUGAGACACGGCCCAGACUCCUACGGGAGGCAGCAGUGGGGAAUAUUGCACAAUGGGGGAAACCCUGAUGCAGCCAUGCCGCGUGUGUGAAGAAGGCCUUCGGGUUGUAAAGCACUUUCAGUUGUGAGGAAAGGUUGGUAGUUAAUACCUGCCAGCUGU
RNAcentral lists this ribosomal RNA (307 nucleotides) under uncultured bacterium. Its description in RNAcentral is "bacterial SSU rRNA". It matches the Rfam family "Bacterial small subunit ribosomal RNA", at positions 162 to 476 of the family's 1533-position model. The record is from RNAcentral.